UUGGAAGGUAAAAAACGUAUCAAGGUUUCCGUAGGUGAACCUGCGGAAGGAUCAUUACCUAGAGUUGCGGGCUCUGCCUGCCAUCUCUUACCCAUGUCUUUUGAGUACCUUACGUUUCCUCGGCGGGUCCGCCCGCCGACUGGACAAACUUAAACCACUUGCAGUUGAAAUCAGCGUCUGAAAAAACUUAAUAGUUACAACUUUCAACAACGGAUCUCUUGGUUCUGGCAUCGAUGAAGAACGCAGCGAAAUGCGAUAAGUAGUGUGAAUUGCAGAAUUCAGUGAAUCAUCGAAUCUUUGAACGCACAUUGCGCCCCUUGGUAUUCCAUGGGGCAUGCCUGUUCGAGCGUCAUUUGUACCUUCAAGCCUUGCUUGGUGUUGGGUGUUUGUCUCGCCUCUGCGCGCAGACUCGCCUCAAAACAAUUGGCAGCCGGCGUAUUGAUUUCGGAGCGCAGUACAUCUCGCGCUUUGCACUCACCACGGCGGCGUCCAAAAGUACAUUUUUUACACUCUGACCUCGGAUCAGGUAGGAACCCCAUUUCG
RNAcentral lists this ribosomal RNA (543 nucleotides) under Phoma sp. 2A. RNAcentral's name for it is "eukaryotic LSU rRNA". The stretch from base 199 to 352 matches the Rfam family "5.8S ribosomal RNA". Lineage: Eukaryota; Fungi; Ascomycota; Dothideomycetes; Pleosporales; Didymellaceae. The record is from RNAcentral.